RNAcentral lists this ribosomal RNA (392 nucleotides) under uncultured marine stramenopile. RNAcentral describes it as "partial small subunit ribosomal RNA". It matches the Rfam family "Eukaryotic small subunit ribosomal RNA", at positions 30 to 432 of the family's 1831-position model. The record is from RNAcentral.
GCUUGUCUCAAAGAUUAAGCCAUGCAUGUCUAAGUAUAACUCUUUUACUUUGAAAACUGCGAACGGCUCAUUAUAUCAGUUAUAGUUUCUUUGAUAGUCCCUUACUACUUGGAUACCCGUAGUAAUUCUAGAGCUAAUACAUGCAUCAAUACCCAACUGUUCGCGGAAGGGUAGUAUUUAUUAGAUUUCAAUCAACACUUUUUGCUGACUCAUGAUAACUUAGCGGAUCGCAGAGGCCUCGCGCCGGCGACAAAUCAUUCAAGUUUCUGCCCUAUCAGCUUUCGAUGGUAGUGUAUUGGACUACCAUGGCAUUCACGGGUAACGGAGGAUUAGGGUUCGAUUCCGGAGAGGGAGCCUGAGAAAUGGCUACCACAUCCAAGGAAGGCAGCAGG